UACGUAGGGUGCGAGCGUUAAUCGGAAUUACUGGGCGUAAAGCGUGCGCAGGCGGUUAUAUAAGACAGUUGUGAAAUCCCCGGGCUCAACCUGGGAAUUGCAUCUGUGACUGUAUAGCUAGAGUACGGUAGAGGGGGAUGGAAUUCCGCGUGUAGCAGUGAAAUGCGUAGAGAUCAGGAAGAACAUCGGUGGCGAAGGCGCUUUGCUGGACCAUAACUGACACUCAGGGACGAAAGCUAGGGGAGCGAAUGGG
RNAcentral lists this ribosomal RNA (253 nucleotides) under uncultured bacterium. RNAcentral's name for it is "partial 16S ribosomal RNA". It matches the Rfam family "Bacterial small subunit ribosomal RNA", at positions 524 to 776 of the family's 1533-position model. The record is from RNAcentral.